This 252-nucleotide ribosomal RNA is filed under the name uncultured bacterium. RNAcentral describes it as "partial 16S ribosomal RNA". It matches the Rfam family "Bacterial small subunit ribosomal RNA", at positions 524 to 776 of the family's 1533-position model. The record is from RNAcentral.
UACGUAUGGUGCAAGCGUUAUCCGGAUUUACUGGGCGUAAAGCGAGCGCAGGUGGUUUAUUAAGUCUGGUGUAAAAGGCAGUGGCUCAACCAUUGUAUGCAUUGGAAACUGGUAGACUUGAGUGCAGGAGAGGAGAGUGGAAUUCCAUGUGUAGCGGUGAAAUGCGUAGAUAUAUGGAGGAACACCAGUGGCGAAGGCGGCUAACUGGCCUGUAACGGACGCUGAGGCACGAAAGCGUGGGGAGCAAAUAGG